UACGGAGGGUGCAAGCGUUAUCCGGAUUCACUGGGUUUAAAGGGUGCGUAGGUGGGCCUGUAAGUCAGUGGUGAAAUCUCCGGGCUUAACCCGGAAACUGCCAUUGAUACUAUAGGUCUUGAAUUAUCUGGAGGUCAGCGGAAUAUGUCAUGUAGCGGUGAAAUGCUUAGAUAUGACAUAGAACACCAAUUGCGAAGGCAGCUGGCUACAGGUUGAUUGACACUGAGGCACGAAAGCGUGGGGAUCAAACAGG
RNAcentral lists this ribosomal RNA (253 nucleotides) under uncultured bacterium. RNAcentral's name for it is "partial 16S ribosomal RNA". It matches the Rfam family "Bacterial small subunit ribosomal RNA", at positions 524 to 776 of the family's 1533-position model. RNAcentral also lists the same sequence under 1 other name. The record is from RNAcentral.